Molecule: unclassified non-coding RNA, 391 nt
Filed under: soil metagenome
Description: partial contains 5.8S ribosomal RNA, internal transcribed spacer 2, and large subunit ribosomal RNA
Rfam family: 5.8S ribosomal RNA (bases 1-122)
Source: RNAcentral
GAUGAAGAACGCAGCGAAAUACGAUACUUGGUGUGAAUUGCAGAAUCCCGUGAACCAUCGAGUCUUUGAACGCAAGUUGCGCCCGAAGCCAUUAGGCCGAGGGCACGCCUGCCUGGGCGUCACACGUCGUUGCCCCCCCAUCUACUCCUUCGGGAUUGCGGGGGGCGGAUGAUGGCCUCUCGUGCGCCUCGUCGCGCGGUUGGCCUAAAUGCCAAGUCCUCGGCGACGCACGCCACGACAAUCGGUGGUUGCGAAACCUCGGUUGCCUGUCGUGUGCGGUCGUCGCGCAUCGAGGGCUCGAAAAAAUUGCCGGGCUUCGGCUCGACUUUCAACGCGACCCCAGGUCAGGCGGGGUUACCCGCUGAAUUUAAGCAUAUCAAUAAGCGGAGGA